Molecule: ribosomal RNA, 394 nt
Filed under: uncultured bacterium
Lineage: Bacteria
Description: bacterial SSU rRNA
Rfam family: Bacterial small subunit ribosomal RNA
Source: RNAcentral
CGAACGCUGGCGGCGUGCUUAACACAUGCAAGUCGAGCGGUAAGGCCCUUUCGGGGGUACACGAGCGGCGAACGGGUGAGUAACACGUGGGUGACCUGCCCUCAGCUCUGGGAUAAGCCUGGGAAACCGGGUCUAAUACCGGAUAUGACUCCAUGACGCAUGUUGUGGGGUGGAAAGCCUUGUGCGGCUGAGGAUGGGCCCGCGGCCUAUCAGCUUGUUGGUGGGGUGAUGGCCUACCAAGGCGACGACGGGUAGCCGGCCUGAGAGGGCGACCGGCCACACUGGGACUGAGACACGGCCCAGACUCCUACGGGAGGCAGCAGUGGGGAAUCUUGCGCAAUGGGCGAAAGCCUGACGCAGCGACGCCGCGUGAGGGAUGACGGCCUCGUGUAAC